GUCGAACGGCAGCGCGGACUUCGGUCUGGCGGCGAGUGGCGAACGGGUGAGUAAUACAUCGGAACGUACCCUGUUGUGGGGGAUAACUAGUCGAAAGAUUAGCUAAUACCGCAUACGACCUGAGGGUGAAAGCGGGGGACCGAAAGGCCUCGCGCAGCAGGAGCGGCCGAUGUCUGAUUAGCUAGUUGGUGGGGUAAAGGCCCACCAAGGCGACGAUCAGUAGCUGGUCUGAGAGGACGAUCAGCCACACUGGGACUGAGACACGGCCCAGACUCCUACGGGAGGCAGCAGUGGGGAAUUUUGGACAAUGGGGGCAACCCUGAUCCAGCAAUGCCGCGUGUGUGAAGAAGGCCUUCGGGUUGUAAAGCACUUUUGUCCGGAAAGAAAUUGCUCUGGCUAAUACCUGGGGUAGAUGACGGUACCGGAAGAAUAAGCACCGGCUAACUACGUGCCAGCAGCCGCGGUAAUACGUAGGGUGCGAGCGUUAAUCGGAAUUACUGGGCGUAAAGCGUGCGCAGGCGGUUUUGUAAGACAGGCGUGAAAUCCCCGGGCUCAACCUGGGAAUUGCGCUUGUGACUGCAAGGCUAGAGUGCGUCAGAGGGGGGUAGAAUUCCACGUGUAGCAGUGAAAUGCGUAGAGAUGUGGAGGAAUACCGA
Molecule: ribosomal RNA, 656 nt
Filed under: Bacillus sp. FJAT-4600
Lineage: Bacteria; Bacillati; Bacillota; Bacilli; Caryophanales; Bacillaceae
Description: bacterial SSU rRNA
Rfam family: Bacterial small subunit ribosomal RNA
Source: RNAcentral